AACGGGUGAGUAACACGUGGGUGAUCUGCCCUGCACUUCGGGAUAAGCCCGGGAAACUGGGUCUAAUACCGGAUAGGACUGCGCGGUGCAUGCCGUGUGGUGGAAAGAUUUAUCGGUGCAGGAUGGGCCCGCGGCCUAUCAGCUUGUUGGUGGGGUAAUGGCCUACCAAGGCGACGACGGGUAGCCGGCCUGAGAGGGCGACCGGCCACACUGGGACUGAGACACGGCCCAGACUCCUACGGGAGGCAGCAGUGGGGAAUAUUGCACAAUGGGCGCAAGCCUGAUGCAGCGACGCCGCGUGAGGGAUGACGGCCUUCGGGUUGUAAACCUCUUUCAGCAGGGACGAAGCGUGAGUGACGGUACCUGCAGAAGAAGCACCGGCCAACUACGUGCCAGCAGCCGCGGUAAUACGUAGGGUGCAAGCGUUGUCCGGAAUUACUGGGCGUAAAGAGCUCGUAGGCGGUUUGUCGCGUCGUCUGUGAAAACCAGCAGCUCAACUGUUGGCUUGCAGGCGAUACGGGCAGACUUGAGUAUUUCAGGGGAGACUGGAAUUCCUGGUGUAGCGGUGAAAUGCGCAGAUAUCAGGAGGAACACCGGUGGCGAAGGCGGGUCUCUGGGAAAUAACUGACGCUGAGGAGCGA
This 641-nucleotide ribosomal RNA is filed under the name Rhodococcus sp. I14A-00870. Its description in RNAcentral is "bacterial SSU rRNA". It matches the Rfam family "Bacterial small subunit ribosomal RNA", at positions 101 to 756 of the family's 1533-position model. The record is from RNAcentral. Lineage: Bacteria; Bacillati; Actinomycetota; Actinomycetes; Mycobacteriales; Nocardiaceae.